Macaca mulatta (Rhesus monkey) is the source of this 2224-nucleotide non-coding RNA. The record is from RefSeq and is a predicted model, not a curated record. Lineage: Eukaryota; Metazoa; Chordata; Mammalia; Primates; Cercopithecidae.
CAGAGGGGGAAGAAGUGAGCGUUUUCUUUGACUUCUUUUCUCCUUUUCCUGGCAGGGGUUUUGUUUUUAGUUUGAAUUCGUAUGUGAGACCUGGCACCACAGUCUGCAGGACUAUGAAUUCCUGAGAACUUAAACGGAACUGUUCAUGAGGAAUAGUGUGAGGGUGAGGGCCCAGCCCUGGCUCACCGAGUCCUCAGGGCUCAGCUCCACAGCUGCCUGAGGAAUUUGCUGUCAAGGGCAAUCUUCAGCAAUCCGGAUCACAGCUGGGCUUUGGGUGGCAACCUGAGGAUGAGGUCAGACUUGAGCAUCACAACCGAAAGUCACAUGCUGAUGACAGGCUCCAAAUCCUCCCAGCCCAGGGCCUGGUGGCUUCCAGACGUUGACUCAGGACAGGAGCCGCUUGUCUGCCGUAAGUGAAUGCCACGGCCAGAGAGGGUGGACCAGGGGGACACCUCUGAUAGGGAGAGUUAAGGAGCAGUGAGCCCCCUUCCACCUCCGCUGAGCAGAAAGGAACUCCUGGAAAUGCCUUCGGGACAGACAGCUGCUGACCUCUUCCUGGAAGCCCUGGGCCUCAGAAGGUUGCUGGUUCCUGCCUAUUUGCUCCCAAGGCAGAUUCGUGAUCCGAAAGGACGGAAGAAGUUUUAAAGACGCCUUGAAUCCUCCUCCACAAUACCCGCUCCACUAUUUGUUAGCACAGAUAUGAUGCUGCUCAUGGAUUGUUUUCACUCCUAAAGACAGUGGUGCAAGGCAAGGUGACCUGGAGCCAGACCAUCCUGAGUGCCCACCCAGCUUCCCAGCAGCCUGUUGGAAUUUGGAAGGACAUUUGCCUCUGUUUAUAAAGCCUGGCUUUUUGCUGAAAGCCAGGUCUCAAAAAUGUUGUUUUAUUAAUAGAAGCUAUACCCUGAACAUUUGGCUCUUUUUCGUCCCAUUUCCCCUUUCACAAUCUUAACUACUCCCAAGACAAUGGAUACCUCUGUCUGUAUCAAGGGCAGAUUGUCGAAAAGAAAGUCAACAGGAAAUAAACAUUAUUAUUUCAAAAAUAUUAUCCUCAUCCAUUUAAAAUUAAGGGGCUAGGAGAAAAGGAUAUGAAGAUUUAAUGUUGAAUGGGUUAGGAAUUUCAGUUUGGGAUGAAGAGAAAGUUCUGGAGAUAGAUGGUGGUGAUGGUGGCACGACAAUGCAAAUGAACUUCAUGCUGCUCUCAAAAAUUGUGAAAAUGGUCAAGUUUAUAUUAUGUCUAUUUUACUGUAAUAAAAAAAUUUUUGGUUUUCAGUGGGCAGGUGAAUAAGGGAACCCUCUUGCCACCUCUUGGCAAGAGCAAGGAAGGAGGUUGGAAUAUCAGCAGUGUGAGCUCUUCCAAGGGCAGUGGUGACAGCCUGGGAGACUGGUCAGCGUAGCAAGGGCAGGUGCAGGUCCCUGGUCCUAGAAUGUGAGUGUGGCAAGCCAGCCUUAACUUCUGUCUGCCUAGGAGGCAUCAUAGGAGGUGAGCCUUAGUGAGCAGGGGUAAGCUCUGUGUGUGUGCAGCAGCAGAUUAUCUGUCUGCUCAUGCAGACUUUGUAGAUUGCUCAGAGUUGCCUAGAGGGAGGGCCCGUGGGGCCUGAAUUUCAACGUGCACUCAACUCAUCAAGCCAUGGGCUCUCUCGGGGCCAUGUCUGCCUACCCCUUGCAAAGCCUCCGGAUGGGUGAUCCUGGGCGCUAAGCCCUGACCAUUCUAAAAUACUAUUUGGCACAGCCUGGAUGAAGUUUGUACAUAGAGUGUGCAGAUCCCUCAAGUUCCCUGAACACUCCACUAUGCAAAUCACGCAGAGAAAUCAGCCAGGAGGAAGACGAGGUGUGGGGGAAGAAGAGCACCAGCCAGGAAGCAUCACCCCAAAGCUGAGUACAUGAGGCUGAUGAAGAGAAUGUCCACACCAUUAAAGAGACUCUAGCAUUCCUCUCCUAUGUUUCUCAACCUUUGUCCUUGUUAAUGCCUGAAUAAAACUGAACAUGAGAGUGUGGCCAUGGGAAUUACAGUACAGGCCUAAGGAGAGGUUGUAAACUUGAGUUUUCCAGGCUUUAUCAACACUUGACCAUUUCCUCCCAUGUUCUGGGAACUCAUUAGCCCCUUUCUGUUUCACCCAUGCAGUAACCCUCUUCUUGGGCUUCAUUACUCCAGUAUGCUUUCCAGAACUAUCAUAUUCCUUUAAUCUUCUUGAAAUAAAUUUGACUUGGAUCACACUCCCCCAAA